RNAcentral lists this small RNA (117 nucleotides) under Marmota monax (woodchuck). Lineage: Eukaryota; Metazoa; Chordata; Mammalia; Rodentia; Sciuridae. The record is from RNAcentral.
GCAGGGCACAGUGGUAUGUGUCUGCAGUCCCAGCUACUUGGGAAGCUGAAACAGGAGGAUUUCUUGAGCCCAGGAAUUCAAGGGCAACCUGGGCAGCAUGGUGAGACUCCAUCUCAA